AGGGUUUGAUUAUGGCUCAGGAUGAACGCUGGCGGCGUGCCUAACACAUGCAAGUCGAGCGAAGCGAUUGCGAGGAAGUUUUCGGAUGGAAUCACAGUUGACUGAGCGGCGGACGGGUGAGUAACGCGUGGAUAACCUGCCUCAUACAGGGGGAUAACAGUUAGAAAUGACUGCUAAUACCGCAUAAGCGCACAGUGCCGCAUGGUACGGUGUGAAAAACUCCGGUGGUAUGAGAUGGAUCCGCGUCUGAUUAGAUAGUUGGUGAGGUAACGGCUCACCAAGUCGACGAUCAGUAGCCGACCUGAGAGGGUGACCGGCCACAUUGGGACUGAGACACGGCCCAA
This 344-nucleotide ribosomal RNA is filed under the name uncultured bacterium. RNAcentral describes it as "bacterial SSU rRNA". It matches the Rfam family "Bacterial small subunit ribosomal RNA", at positions 8 to 334 of the family's 1533-position model. The record is from RNAcentral.